AACGUAGGACGCAAGCGUUAUCCGGAGUUACUGGGCGUAAAGCGCGGGCAGGCGGCUCGAAACGUCUGAUGUGAAAUCUCCUCGCUCAACGGGGAGAGGCCAUUGGAAACGGUCGAGCUGGAGGGCAGUAGAGGUAGGCGGAAUUCCGGGUGGAGUGGUGAAAUGCGUAGAGAUCCGGAGGAACACCAGAGGCGAAGGCGGCCUACUGGGCUGCACCUGACACUGAGGCACGAAAGCUAGGGGAGCAAACGGG
This 253-nucleotide ribosomal RNA is filed under the name uncultured bacterium. RNAcentral describes it as "partial 16S ribosomal RNA". It matches the Rfam family "Bacterial small subunit ribosomal RNA", at positions 524 to 776 of the family's 1533-position model. The record is from RNAcentral.